UCGGAUCUGGGCGUAAGAGCUCGUAGGUGGUUUGUCGCGUUGUUCGUGAAAACUCACAGCUUAACUGUGGGCGUGCGGGCGAUACGGGCAGACUUGAGUACUGCAGAGGAGACUGGAAUUCCUGGUGUAGCGGUGGAAUGCGCAAAUAUCAGGAGGAACACCGGUGGCGAAGGCGGGUCUCUGGGCAGUAACUGACGCUGAGGAGCGAAAGCGUGGGGAGCGAACAGGAUUAGAUACCCUGGUAGUCCACGCCGUAAACGGUGGGUACUAGGUGUGGGUUCCUUCCUUGGGAUCCGUGCCGUAGCUAACGCAUUAAGUACCCCGCCUGGGGAGUACGGCCGCAAGGCUAAAACUCAAAAGAAUUGACGGGGGCCCGCACAAGCGGCGGAGCAUGUGGAUUAAUUCGAUGCAACGCGAAAAACCUUACCUGGGUUUGACAUGCACAGGACGCCGGCAGAAAUGCCGGUUCCCUUGUGGCCUGUGUGCAGGUGGUGCAUGGCUGUCUUCAGCUCGUGUCGGGAGAUGUUGGGUUAAGUCCCGCAACGAGCGCAACCCUUGUCCUAUGUUGCCAGCGGGUUAUGCCGGGGACUCGUACGAGACUGCCGGGGUCAACUCGGAGGAGGGUGGGGAUGACGUCAAGUCAUCCUGCCCCUUAUGUCCAGGCGCUUCACACAUGCUACAAUGGCC
This 687-nucleotide ribosomal RNA is filed under the name uncultured bacterium. RNAcentral describes it as "bacterial SSU rRNA". It matches the Rfam family "Bacterial small subunit ribosomal RNA", at positions 545 to 1235 of the family's 1533-position model. The record is from RNAcentral.